RNAcentral lists this transfer RNA (72 nucleotides) under Bos taurus (domestic cattle). It matches the Rfam family "tRNA". Rfam says of the family: Transfer RNA (tRNA) molecules are approximately 80 nucleotides in length. Lineage: Eukaryota; Metazoa; Chordata; Mammalia; Artiodactyla; Bovidae. RNAcentral also lists the same sequence under 5 other names. The record is from Rfam by way of RNAcentral.
UCCCUGAUAUCUCAGUUGGUAAAGAAUCUGCCUGCAAUGCAGGAGACACUGGUUCAGUUCCUGGGUUGGGAA